Bos taurus (domestic cattle) is the source of this 2593-nucleotide long non-coding RNA. The record is from Ensembl. Lineage: Eukaryota; Metazoa; Chordata; Mammalia; Artiodactyla; Bovidae.
GAGUCCGCCCCAGGACGGUCUCUCUCCGUUGCCGGGGCCGCAGAUGCGAAGGGCUGGGGUCCUCCUGUUUCCAGGCCGCAGGCUCUGGGGCAGGGCGGCUCCUCCUUACCUCCGGGGUCAGCCGUCCGUGUCUGUUCCCAAGUGACCCCUCCUCAGCCCUUGUCCUGCCCGGGGUUGGGAAGCUUGGCCCCUCUGAGAACCUGCCCCCUCGGUUCCUGGUUUCUCCCUAUGCGGGGCCUCCCAGGGUUUGUCCACCAGGUCCUGCUCGCGCUGCUGAGACCAGGCGUACCCUCUGCUCUGGUUAGCGGCCUCCACGACCCUCAGGGAUCCUGUCCCUGCCGGAAUCCCGCAGGGUCCAUGGGCCGGACCUCCCAGGAGGGUGAGCCUUCGGGGUCACGCUUGGAGUUAGCACUAGCCGCCCACCCCUCCAUCACAGAGGAGCGGAGAGGCCCGGGUCUGGGGGUCUCGGCAGGGCCUUGGCCAACUCUCCCAGGAGGCUUCUCGCCCCGUGGUGAGCGCCGCCGCCGGGCGGGGCGGGGGCGGCGAGGCUGCUGGAGGCCCGCGGAGCACCGGGGUUUUCAGCGCCCUCCUCCCGCACCCGCCUCAGGCCUGCGUGGGGAACCCUGGGAACCUGUCCGCAGCGUCCGGAGCAUCGGCCGAACUUCGCGUCCCAGGCCUGCCCGGGGAACCCUGGGUGUGGGCAGGACGGGGACUUCACGAGGCCCCUCAGCGAGGAGCUGACCCAGGGCGGCGGGCAGUCGCUGCAUGGCCCGCCUCGAGAGUCACUGGAGGACCCCUCAGGACGGGAAUUUCUCCAGCUCCAGCCUGGAUCUGAGGCUUCCAGAAACAGCACAUUGGCAGACCUGUGGAUGUCGAAGCAAACAUUAGGAUGACAACCAAACAAACUUAUUCCUGUUGCUUUAGGAAUGGACCAAAAAUAUAUCGGAAGCAAUUAUUGGCAGAAUAUAACCUGAAUUAUCUGAAACAGCAAUCUGCAGAUCCAGAAAGCACAGCAAACCCUGAACAGGAGAAUCAAAAGGAAAGCCACCCGAGGCCCCUGGAACAAGUUGCUGAAAACCAAAGAUAAAAAAGCAGCCAGAUGCAGAAAGAGAUUUAUUCCAUGUCGGGAGCAAGGAUAAAACUCACAGAGGAUAUUUUGUCACAAAAAUAAUGAUUGGCGGCAAGAAAAUGAAGCUGAAUAAAAAGUCUGUCAAAUAGGAAUGCAUCUAGCAAAAUCAUCUUUCAAACGUUAAGGAUAAAUAAAGACACUUUAAGGGGAAUUAAAGCUGAAUGAACGUGUUCCCAGCUGAUCUGCACCCUGAGGAAUGAUGAAGGAAGUUCUUCAGGCUGAAGAGGGAUUUUAUCAGAAAGAAACGUGGUGUCCAGAAGUAAUAACAAACACUGGGAAGAGUAAAGAUGAAGAUGGAUAAAAGCAGGGUUUCCCUUUCUUCUGCCACGUUCUUCACAAGUUGACUCUUUAAGACAACAAAACACAAAACACGGUGAGAUUACCACACGAAAUGUAAGCGGAAGGGAGUAGCAGACAAGACAGGAGAGGCUGAGGGUGGCUUUAUGUCAUGAAGGUCUUCAUAUGACAGAGACGGAUGAGACUGGGUCAGAGUAAACCAUAAAAAGAUAAAGAUAAAAAUGGUGAUUUUGAGGGAAACCUCUGAAAGAUAAAUAAUAGACACAAAAAUCAACGGAGGAACAGAUUGGAUCAUGAAAAUUCACCCGUUCAAGCCAAAAUAGAAUAUAGCAAAAGAAAAAAUAGGGACCCAAAGGGGAUAAAUUGGGAAAGACUCGUAAGAUGGUACACCGAAAGCCAGCCCAGAGGGCGCUCAUGGGAAGAGGUCAGACGUCCAGGCUGUGCCCCAGCUGGGCCCAGGGCCGGGCUUGUCUCCAUCGCCAGGCGGUGGGCCAUUCUCACCGCUUGGAGACUUCAGCUGUUUCCAGCUUCUCUGUAAGCAGUAACGCUGCCCUGAAAGCUCUGUGUUUCUUUCUGCGGUCGUGCUGCGGUUCCUAAGGUACAUUUCUGAGCACACCUCUUUAUCCACACAUAUAGACAUGUGACACUGAAACGUUCUCUUCCCCUUAUGGAUAAGCCAUCAGCUCCCAGUCAGUUCACGUCUGUGGCUGAACCCUAGAAACAGUCUUUGAAGAAAUUACAAAUACAUUUUGAAACUUGAAAUAUAUUGUUGACUUCUUUUCUCUCUUAUAAUCUAUGUGUUGGAGACACUGAGACGUUGGUCUUCCAGAAGCCCCACCAGCUGGUGCUGACGACUGCAUCCCUGAUGUGUAACUUUGAAAGUAUUUUCAUCAGCUCCCAGUAUUUUCUGUAAAUUGAUCCUUAGAUCAAGAUGCUUCACCAACUUCAUGGUGUUGAUCCACGUUUUUGGUGAGGCUGUUCCCCUGGUGACACUGUGCCCCAUGACCAAGACGUAUCUAGGGUCUGGUCACCGCUUUCUCUCUCUCUCCCUCACUAACUGGCGUUAACCGUCACCACCCAGGCUCAUUAAUGUAUUAAGGGUAGCAAAGUCAUGAUAUUUUAACAUUACCAUUCUUUUCUUACUUAUUAGCUGAAAUAUUUCUACAC